AAAGUUUUCUAAAACUUUCUUAAAGUCAACAAAUCAAAAUAUUAAAUUUUUAUUUUAUCUUUCUCUUUCUGGUUUAUCAAAAAAAAAAUUAAAACCAUCCAUCCAACAAAAAUAAAAAAAAAUCAGACACAUUCACUUUUACUAUGUUUUGCACACACUUUUCCCAUGAUUUACACAUACAACCAUGAUUUACAUGAUUACAAAAUAACUAUAUUCAAAAUAAAUCAAAUACAAUUCAAAAAUUACAAAAUAACAAAAUAGCCCCUAAAAUUCCAGGAACUGCUGGGAAGUCUUCUGAACUCUGCUGGAAUAGUGGCGGCGCGUCUUCUCCAUGAGCGGCCGACACUGGCAGCGAGUGGGUUCACGCGCCAUCGCGAGGGAGUCCAGGCAACAGGUGAUCUGUAACGGUUUGUUCCGCUCUUCCCUUCCCUGCAUGCGGUGAAGAUCACCGUCACCUGCAACAAGAGAAAAUGCAACAGGCAGUCGAGUGUCAGAUCUGGCGGCGACGACGCUGGAUUCGGGUUGUUGCUUUGGCCGCUGCUAUUGCAGGCUGAAUGGAGGGGAUGUCUGGUUCGGUUUAGCAGAGAUGGGGAAAGCUGGAGACGGCGUCUGUGGGGCUGGUCUCCUGUGAGGACAGCGCUGAUAUGGCUGACAGUGAAGGGGGUCGGUGGAGACGGGGAACGGCUCUGCCCGUUUUUGGUCUUGGCGAGCUGGCGGCUGGUUCAGGAGAAAAGGAAAAUGAGGGCUGGUGUGCUUUUCGGUCGGUUGAGAGGAAAACAAAAGGAAGUGAGGGGCUUUCAGGUGGCGGCUGAGAGAAGAAAAUCAAAGUGGUGAGCUGACUGUCUUGUGGCUGAGAGGGGAGGUUACACCGGGUGCAGGGGAAGAAGGCAAAAAUUCAAAAGGAGGGAUUAAAAUUAUAGGUAAAAUGUUUAUAUUUAUAUUUUUUUAUAUAGAUAUUAUAUUUAUAGGUAAAAUGUUGUUUGCUGUUAAAAUUAAUCCCUCAACUUUCUUUUUGCUUUGCAAA
Long non-coding RNA from Populus trichocarpa (black cottonwood), 1024 nucleotides. RefSeq lists it as uncharacterized. The record is from RefSeq and is a predicted model, not a curated record. The transcript has 2 exons. NCBI's taxonomy places the organism in Eukaryota, Viridiplantae, Streptophyta, Magnoliopsida, Malpighiales, Salicaceae.